This 114-nucleotide small RNA is filed under the name unclassified sequences. RNAcentral's name for it is "LOOT RNA". It matches the Rfam family "LOOT RNA". Rfam says of the family: Latescibacteria, OD1/Parcubacteria, OP11, TM7. Lineage (Microgenomates, aka OP11) The record is from Rfam by way of RNAcentral.
GGCCUAAACCGGAGUAAUCCGGCAUGGCAUUAAGACCAACGAAGAUAAAGAACCCAUCAUAUAGGGUCGUCUUCGUUGGCCGUGUCGGGAAACUGGCACGGGGGCUUCGGCCCC